RNAcentral lists this ribosomal RNA (460 nucleotides) under uncultured bacterium. RNAcentral describes it as "partial 16S ribosomal RNA". It matches the Rfam family "Bacterial small subunit ribosomal RNA", at positions 338 to 795 of the family's 1533-position model. The record is from RNAcentral.
CCUACGGGUGGCAGCAGUGAGGAAUAUUGGUCAAUGGGCGCGAGCCUGAACCAGCCAAGUAGCGUGAAGGAUGACUGCCCUAUGGGUUGUAAACUUCUUUUAUAAAGGAAUAAAGUGAGGCACGUGUGCCUUUUUGUAUGUACUUUAUGAAUAAGGAUCGGCUAACUCCGUGCCAGCAGCCGCGGUAAUACGGAGGAUCCGAGCGUUAUCCGGAUUUAUUGGGUUUAAAGGGAGCGUAGAUGGGUUGGUAAGUCAGUUGUGAAAGUUUGUGGCUCAACCGUAAAAUUGCAAUUGAUACUGGCAGACUUGAGUACAGUUGAGGUAGGCGGAAUUCGUGGUGUAGCGGUGAAAUGCUUAGAUAUCACGAAGAACUCCGAUUGCGAAGGCAGCUUACUAAACUGACACUGACAUUGAUGCACGAAAGUGUGGGUAUCAAACAGGAUUAGAUACCCCUGUAGUC